ACGGGUGAGUAAUACAUCGGAACGUGCCUAGUAGUGGGGGAUAACUACUCGAAAGAGUAGCUAAUACCGCAUGAGAUCUACGGAUGAAAGCAGGGGACCUUCGGGCCUUGUGCUUCUAGAGCGGCUGAUGGCAGAUUAGGUAGUUGGUGGGGUAAAGGCUUACCAAGCCUGCGAUCUGUAGCUGGUCUGAGAGGACGACCAGCCACACUGGGACUGAGACACGGCCCAGACUCCUACGGGAGGCAGCAGUGGGGAAUUUUGGACAAUGGGCGAAAGCCUGAUCCAGCAAUGCCGCGUGCAGGAUGAAGGCCCUCGGGUUGUAAACUGCUUUUGUACGGAACGAAAAGCCUGGGGCUAAUAUCUCCGGGUCAUGACGGUACCGUAAGAAUAAGCACCGGCUAACUACGUGCCAGCAGCCGCGGUAAUACGUAGGGUGCAAGCGUUAAUCGGAAUUACUGGGCGUAAAGCGUGCGCAGGCGGUUUUGUAAGACAGUGGUGAAAUCCCCGGGCUCAACCUGGGAACUGCCAUUGUGACUGCAAGGCCAGAGUGCGGCAGAGGGGGAUGGAAUUCCGCGUGUAGCAGUG
RNAcentral lists this ribosomal RNA (585 nucleotides) under uncultured bacterium. RNAcentral describes it as "bacterial SSU rRNA". It matches the Rfam family "Bacterial small subunit ribosomal RNA", at positions 102 to 683 of the family's 1533-position model. The record is from RNAcentral.